UGUGGGCAUAAGAAAGAUGCGAGACGGAGCUGCGUAAAUCUUUCUCGGUCGUAGAAGUGGAAUUUGACUGACAGUUGAUGGUUGACUGGGAUGUGGUUUCAGCGCAUUUAGCGGACAAGCCCACAAUGUUCAAGCGCCGAGAGAAAGGCUUUCUCUUUCAUUAUUUUGAAGCCUAAUUUUAUCUACAUUUUUGAAAAUCAGAAUCCAAUUUGGCAGGGUUAUUAAUAACCCUCUUCUCUUUGGUGUGUCAAAUUUACAAGACAUAUUUAUUUUCUCUUUCCAAGGACUUUAAGUGCAGUAAUGGAGUAUUUGUACUUAGUUACUUCUCCCUACUGUGUGUAUGUAUGUGUGUUAUUACUCAGACAGAGCGUCCAUUGUGAUGCGCCGGUGUCCCUCAAGGCGCUGGAAUCUGGCACAUUGUCUGCAUCGGAAACUCGAAGCCGUUACAACUCUCGACUUGUUUUGAAGCAAGCAGAAAAUUCCAGUGCCUGACGUGUUUUUUUUUUUUUUUUUUUUUUUGGGGGGAGGAGUGACGCCGCCGGACAAGCGUCUGGAAGGAAAAGUCUCAUUACGACCGGAGUGUUGGCGGGUCGAGGACUGUUAGAUAAGAGGGAAACCCGCCGUUGGCCGCGGGCUUCCGGAUCACGCCGGCACGGUGGACCGGUUCAGGGUGGAGCCCGCCUCCCGCCCGGAGAUAGCUGUGAUAGGCUCCAGCAGCCCGUGACCCUAGUGAGAAUGAGCGAACUUGACUUUUGGAUCUUUGUUCAUUCCAAAGCCCCACAGCUGGCUGUGACAUUCAGACGUGUUUGAUUGACAGCAGGUGCACAAGGGAACAAAAUGUCAGGAGUUCCUGACAUUCUGUGCUCGCAAGAAAAACUUUGAGUGGGGAAACACCUGCAGGAAUUUUCGUCAGGGUGCAAACAAGAGAUUAGAAAUUGCUUACUAUCAAGCCGUUCUCAAAUGCUGGAGGCGUGUCUGCUGAAUGUGCUGAAACCACGCCCCGCUCAGCCGUCAACUGUCAAUCAAAUGCCACUUCUACAACCUGUAAAACUGGAUGCUACUUCGCCUGGCAUCUUAUGCCUACACAAAACAAAUGUUUGCGCUGCAAAAAUAAGUCUCUGGAGGCUGGAAUAUAUAUCCCACCGGACCGUUGCGGGGCUUUUCCAUGCCGCAACAACGAGGCACUCUAAAGCGACCACACCAGCGCAAAGCCCCUGUCCAAAUCCUGGCUGUCUUGUUAGACUUAUUUUUUCUCCCCCUUUGAUUUUACGCCUUCUCUCCAUGACAUGCGCCCACUCAUGGUCGACAACAAGGCGCUCUAAUACGGCUGCGCCAGCCCGAAGCCCCAAAAAGAGAGGACUCGUGAGGAGCUUCUGCCACGAGUCCCGUCUAGAUCCUCACACGCAGACCAACAGACCAGAAGUCACUCACUUGGCCACGCCCAUUAAAGGCACACAUCCAACAGAUGGACACUCGAGUACGGACAGUAAUUCCACUACACUAUUUCUUAACAUUCUCUUUUAUAAUGUUUGUAUGCAGAACAGUGCCAUUUUUCCUCCCAAUAAAAACA
Molecule: long non-coding RNA, 1570 nt
Organism: Phyllopteryx taeniolatus (common seadragon)
Lineage: Eukaryota; Metazoa; Chordata; Actinopteri; Syngnathiformes; Syngnathidae
Exons: 4
Source: RefSeq, a predicted model, not a curated record